AAGUUCCGCUGCAGCAAUGUGAUUGUCGGCGGGGCGCGAGCGUGUCAUGCGCCGCUGGUCGGCAAUACGUAUCGUAUCGCCGCUGGUAGGGGGUGUAAAAUAAUAACGAAGUGACGUAACUCGGUAAAAUAUAGUGUUGUGGUGUAUGUGGGAAAAUGUCAGCCGUAUGUAUGACUGUGUGCUCCGUUCGCACUCAUAACGGUUGAAACGUGUAUUCCAGCAACAUCUUUGACUGAGUUGAGUUGUUGCAUCGUAGGAAACUGGACGUAACUAAUGUUCAGCUGAGUUAAACUUGUCACGUCCUGAAAUAAGAACACUUUUCAUCGUUGAGUGUGAACUGUGAAACAGCCUACAAACCAGUUUUUUUUUUUUUUUUUUUUUUCCUCGUCCAACGGACCAUUUAUUCCGUAUAACGGCAUUUUUUUUCCAUUGAUGGCCGUUUUACUUCCACGACAUACUGAUACUGUACUUCCCUCUUCACUAAGGGGUUCUUCACUGUGAGAAAUGAGAAGUGUAAUAAGAACUAUACAGCUGAUGUACAUCAACCGUAUUCUGAAGAAGGGAUGGGACAUUUGACAGCAGAAAAAAAAUGUGCUGAGAUUCACAGCAGUUCGUCCGAGACACCGCUCAGGAACUGAUCCAUCCCUACAACCCAGAGCGCAUCAGGCUGGCAUUCGGGAACUGAGCAGAAGAAGAGCCGGAAGGCACUGGUAGUC
This is a long non-coding RNA of Scleropages formosus (Asian bonytongue), 716 nucleotides long. RefSeq lists it as uncharacterized. The transcript is spliced from 3 exons. The record is from RefSeq and is a predicted model, not a curated record. NCBI's taxonomy places the organism in Eukaryota, Metazoa, Chordata, Actinopteri, Osteoglossiformes, Osteoglossidae.